Molecule: ribosomal RNA, 681 nt
Filed under: Triticum aestivum (bread wheat)
Lineage: Eukaryota; Viridiplantae; Streptophyta; Magnoliopsida; Poales; Poaceae
Description: partial small subunit ribosomal RNA
Source: RNAcentral
AUGGCUGAAGUGAGGAUUGCCAGCAGGACGGCUGUAGCCGAUCGCUCUGGCGGUGGAUUCUUCGUGAGGAGGGUGGCGUCUCCCGGAGCCGUGGUGGACAAGGGCGCCGUCAAGCCGCUUGCUCGUCGGGUCCCGUCACCGUCGAGCAACAAGGAGAACGUGCCACCAGCGUGGGCUGCGUGGACUGCACCCAAGAGGAGGAGCUCCCUGCCCGAGUGGUACCCAAGGACCCCACUCCGCGAUAUCACAUCAGUCAUCAAGGCUGUUGAGAGGAAAAGUCGGCUGCGAGAUGCUGUGGCUCGGCAGCAGCUCCAGUGGGAUGAAGAAGACUCCUCGGAGCCUGAGGAUCCAGCACAAACAGAUGAGGGUAUUCAUGGAAGCACAGCACCAACAAACGAAACCCUGGGUGUUGGCUCGGCUCAAGUUGUUGAAACCACCGCAGCAUCAGCAACCUGCUUGGGCGAGGGCGAGAGCACCACGGUGGUGAAGGCAUCUGAUGACUGCUCCUUGCAGUCUCCAUCCAGACCAAGUGGAGAAGACGACGUGGAGAAGCAACUGGCCAACUCCAUACAAGAGAUUGAGAAUAUGGUGAGCCGGAACCUGAAGCGAACCGAUCCCAAGGCUACUCGGCCUUCCAAGACCCCGGCUGUCCAGAGGCGCACCCUGAUGUCUAUGCGCUGA